Molecule: ribosomal RNA, 586 nt
Filed under: uncultured bacterium
Lineage: Bacteria
Description: bacterial SSU rRNA
Rfam family: Bacterial small subunit ribosomal RNA
Source: RNAcentral
CCUACGGGAGGCAGCAGUGGGGAAUUUUGGACAAUGGGCGAAAGCCUGAUCCAGCAAUGCCGCGUGAGUGAAGAAGGCCUUCGGGUUGUAAAGCUCUUUUGUCAGGGAAGAAACGGUGAGGGCUAAUAUCCUUUGCUAAUGACGGUACCUGAAGAAUAAGCACCGGCUAACUACGUGCCAGCAGCCGCGGUAAUACGUAGGGUGCAAGCGUUAAUCGGAAUUACUGGGCGUAAAGCGUGCGCAGGCGGUUUUGUAAGUCUGAUGUGAAAUCCCCGGGCUCAACCUGGGAAUUGCAUUGGAGACUGCAAGGCUAGAAUCUGGCAGAGGGGGGUAGAAUUCCACGUGUAGCAGUGAAAUGCGUAGAUAUGUGGAGGAACACCGAUGGCGAAGGCAGCCCCCUGGGUCAAGAUUGACGCUCAUGCACGAAAGCGUGGGGAGCAAACAGGAUUAGAUACCCUGGUAGUCCACGCCCUAAACGAUGUCUACUAGUUGUCGGGUCUUAAUUGACUUGGUAACGCAGCUAACGCGUGAAGUAGACCGCCUGGGGAGUACGGUCGCAAGAUUAAAACUCAAAUGAAAUUGACGG